This 31-nucleotide non-coding RNA is filed under the name Rattus norvegicus (Norway rat). The record is from RNAcentral. Lineage: Eukaryota; Metazoa; Chordata; Mammalia; Rodentia; Muridae.
UAUAAACAACACUGCUGUAUGAGAUAGGCCA